UUUAAUUUUGGAUUGGAGAUGCUUAAUAUGAGUCUGGAAGGAGAGUUUACAGUCUAACCAGACACCCAGGUAUUUGUAGUUGUCCACGUAUUCUAAGUCAGAACCGUCCAGAGUAGUGAUGCUGGACCGGCGGGCAGGUAUGGGCAAUUUUGUCCUCCGCUGGCCCAGUGGACAAGGCCUCUGGUGGCCCAGUGGACAAGGCCUCUGGUGGCCCAGUGGACAAGGCCUCUGGUGGCCCAGUGGACAAGGCCUCUGGUGGCCCAGUGGACAAGGCCUCUGAUAGACCAGUGGACAAGGCCUCUGAUAGACCAGUGGACAAGGCCUCUGAUGGACAAGGCCUCUGAAAGACCAGUGGACAAGGCCUCUGAUAGACCAGUGGACAAGGCCUCUGAUGGACAAGGCCUCUGAUAGACCAGUGGACAAGGCCUCUGAUGGACAAGGCCUCUGAUAGACCAGUGGACAAGGCCUCUGAUGGACAAGGCCUCUGAUGGACAAGGCCUCUGAUGGACAAGGCCUCUGAUAGACCAGUGGACAAGGCCUCUGAUAGACCAGUGGACAAGGCCUCUGAUAGACCAGUGGACAAGGCCCAGUAGAAUAGGGACUAGAAGGUCCCAGGUUCUAAUCUUACCGAUGGCCUUUGUUUAUUUCAGCGUAAAGCUGAUACCUAGAGUCGAUGGUGCCACCCCCCCCCUGACAAUGAUUUUAAAGUUUGAUAAUCCAGAUCUGUUUACACUCUUAACAUAAAGAUACGUCUCCCUGACGACCUCGGCAGCUGGUCGGAAAGAUCAGAUCACAAUCGCUUCUUUAAAAAAAUUAUAAUAAUAAUCGUCCACACCUGGGGGAAAAUAAAUAAUGUAGGUACAAUCAGAAUGUGGACACAUGUGAGCACCAGGUAUAAAACAGGCCCUGAAGGAGUGAAAGCCAAUAUCCUCAGAAUGUGGAGAAUAUCAGGACACAUUUGAGCACCAGGUAUAAAACAGGCCCUGAAGGAGUGAAAGCCAAUAUCCUCGUGUGCGUCGGUCGACACAUCAAUGACGUCAUUAUUUAACCUUGUAUUUGUACUUCAUAGUGUUAAUGGUUUGUACCAGUCCUUUUGUUUCAUACAAGCAGCAUGUCUCCGAUCUGAUGAUCUUUUCAAUAUUUAUACUCUUUAAGCACCACAGGAUUAUUGACUAUUAAUAAACUGUUGACAGGAAGUGA
Molecule: long non-coding RNA, 1200 nt
Organism: Oncorhynchus gorbuscha (pink salmon)
Lineage: Eukaryota; Metazoa; Chordata; Actinopteri; Salmoniformes; Salmonidae
Exons: 2
Source: RefSeq, a predicted model, not a curated record